Molecule: ribosomal RNA, 495 nt
Filed under: Hellenolacerta graeca
Lineage: Eukaryota; Metazoa; Chordata; Lepidosauria; Squamata; Lacertidae
Description: partial 16S ribosomal RNA
Rfam family: Bacterial large subunit ribosomal RNA
Source: RNAcentral
GGUCCCGCCUGCCCAGUGACUCUUUUAAACGGCCGCGGUAUCCUAACCGUGCAAAGGUAGCAUAAUCACUUGUUCCAUAAAUUGGGACUAGUAUGAAUGGCUAAAUGAGGACUAAACUGUCUCUUACGGACAGCCAAUGAAAUUGAUCUCCCAGUACAAAAGCUGGAAUAUACCCAUAAGACGAGAAGACCCUGUGGAGCUUAAAAAUCAAACCCAUCAAACAUGGGUUUUGAAUUUUUAGUUGGGGCGACUUCGGAGUACAAAAAAACCUCCAAAAACUAGCCAUCAAGAUCAACACACCAAAACAGCUACAUUAGACCCAGCAACUUCUACCCAAGUUGUCUGAUCAAUGAACCAAGUUACCCCAGGGAUAACAGCGCCAUCCCCUUCUAGAGUCCCUAUCGACAAGGGGGUUUACGACCUCGAUGUUGGAUCAGGACACCCCAAUGGUGCAGCCGCCAUUAAAGGUUCGUUUGUUCAACGAUUAAAGUCCUA